GACGUAGGGCGCGAGCGUUGUCCGGAUUUAUUGGGCGUAAAGAGCUCGUAGGCGGUGUGUCGCGUCGGCCGUGAAAACCUGCAGCUUAACUGUGGGCGUGCGGUCGAUACGGGCAUCACUGGAGUUCGGCAGGGGAGACUGGAAUUCCUGGUGUAGCGGUGAAAUGCGCAGAUAUCAGGAGGAACACCGGUGGCGAAGGCGGGUCUCUGGGCCGAUACUGACGCUGAGGAGCGAAAGCGUGGGGAGCAAACAGG
RNAcentral lists this ribosomal RNA (254 nucleotides) under uncultured bacterium. Its description in RNAcentral is "partial 16S ribosomal RNA". It matches the Rfam family "Bacterial small subunit ribosomal RNA", at positions 524 to 776 of the family's 1533-position model. The record is from RNAcentral.